CGUAGGGGGCUAGCGUUGUCCGGAAUCAUUGGGCGUAAAGCGCGCGUAGGCGGCCCGGUAAGUCCGCUGUGAAAGUCAAAGGCUCAACCUUUGAAUGUCAGCGGAUACUGCCGGGCUAGAGUCCGGAAGAGGCGAGUGGAACUCCUGGUGUAGCGGUGGAAUGCGCAGAUAUCAGGAAGAACACCAACGGCGAAGGCAGCUCGCUGGGACGGAACUGACGCUAAGGCGCGAAAGCGUGGGGAGCGAACAGGAUUAGAUACCCUGGUAGUCCACGCCGUAAACGAUGGGCACUAGGUGUGGGAGGUGUCGACUCCUCCCGUGCCGGCGCUAACGCAUUAAGUGCCCCGCCUGGGGAGUACGGCCGCAAGGCUA
RNAcentral lists this ribosomal RNA (372 nucleotides) under uncultured organism. RNAcentral's name for it is "bacterial SSU rRNA". It matches the Rfam family "Bacterial small subunit ribosomal RNA", at positions 526 to 896 of the family's 1533-position model. The record is from RNAcentral.